Molecule: ribosomal RNA, 469 nt
Filed under: Xenurolebias myersi
Lineage: Eukaryota; Metazoa; Chordata; Actinopteri; Cyprinodontiformes; Rivulidae
Description: partial 12S ribosomal RNA
Rfam family: Bacterial small subunit ribosomal RNA
Source: RNAcentral
GAAUAUUACAAGCACAAGCUUAAAGUUUAAUGGGCUUGGCGGUGCUUUAAACCCCCCUAGAGGAGCCUGUCCUGUAAUCAAUAUUCCCCGUUAAACCUCACCUUCUUUUGCCCACAGUCUGUAUACCUCCGUCGUCAGUUUACCCUUUAAAGGCAUAAAAGCAAACAAAAUCGAGUUUAAUCCCAAACGUCAGGUCAAGGUGCAACUAAUAAGAAGGGAAGAGAUGGGCUACAUUUCCUAAAUAGGAAACUACGGGUUAUGCAAUGAAACUUGCAUUAUGAAGGAGGGUUUAGCAGUAAGUAAAAAAUAGAGUGUUUUACUGAAGCAGGCUCUAAAGCGCGUACAGACCGCCCGUCGCUCUCUCCCACUUUCCUAUACAAACACAUCUAUACAUAAUAAGUAAACCUGUUUAAAGGGGAUAGACAAGUCGUAACAAGGUAAGUGUACUGGAAAGUGCACUUGGCUCACU